AGAUAUGCUUGCCGACUUGCAAAAAGUUAAAAAGCGCGACUUGUUGGAAAUAAAACUAGCAAGCCAAGAGGAAAAAAAACUGGUUUUUAUGCGGCUGUCACUAUAGUGGACUCGCUCGCACGCAACAUUUAGCUGUUUAAAAGUGCGCGCGUCACGUAGCCAAAUGAGAAGAUAACCGGCACAACCUUAGACAACCGGCAAUAGACCUAACGGAUUGCUUUACCACCCCCGCUGAGAAGAACAAACGAGAUCGAAUAGAGUGCUGUUCGUGUGCAAAUAUUUUCAGCAAUGACAGAAUCCCUGGAAGCGAGAACAAGAACUCGACGGCCGUUAAUGUCAAGCUUUGAGCUUAAAGCAAGAAAGAACGUGUGAAAGACAACCGACGAAAAUAAAUGGGCUGGUGAGGACAGAAGUAAACGGUUAAGCAAAAGCAAACAGAGCCAGAAAAAGACAGCUGAAAUUAAACAGCACAAGAAAAAGAGCGGUAACUUGAAUUCUACACACACACACAAACAUCACUCUCAUAUAUUUUUGCGCACUUCGCUUGGCGCACGCACACACUUGUACAAACAUUAGUCCGCUACUACCACCACAGCACGCACACACAAGUCAAUUUUCGUUGUCGUUGGUUUGCCGGCCGGAGAGUAAGCGAGAAGGCACCAUGACGCCGCGCCAAAUUCAACGGCGUCGUUUUUUGCGCGCACCCCUACUGGCCAUCAGCGCAAGCGAGACAACUGCUUUAAUGCCGCCAAGCGGUUUGCGUAUGUAGACACAGAAUUCAAAAGAAAAUUUUUCCAAACCGUUGCGGCGAACAUUGAAAAAGAUGUACACUCGAGAAACUCGCUCCAAAUCCAUUACAUCCAAUUGUUUAAACAAAAUGCACAAGCACCCGCUUUCAAGGCAAACAAAGUACUCACUUUUUUUGCUCAGCCACAUCAGCCAUUUUGAUUUACGGUUGGUUUUUUUUACUGUUCAAAAGCGAAGCGCGAAAACACGUUUAAAUUGUUGGUUUUAGUAUGCGCUAAACACGACUCGCAAGGCUCGAAGAACAACACUUAGUUUUCAACAAGCUGCAAAUUUUAUAAAUU
Long non-coding RNA from Drosophila elegans, 1088 nucleotides. RefSeq lists it as uncharacterized. The transcript has 2 exons. Lineage: Eukaryota; Metazoa; Arthropoda; Insecta; Diptera; Drosophilidae. The record is from RefSeq and is a predicted model, not a curated record.